Molecule: long non-coding RNA, 1264 nt
Organism: Panicum virgatum (switchgrass)
Lineage: Eukaryota; Viridiplantae; Streptophyta; Magnoliopsida; Poales; Poaceae
Exons: 3
Source: RefSeq, a predicted model, not a curated record
GACGGACCGGGUGGGCUAAACGCCAGAAGCAGCCCAGCCUGUGAGUCUCGCAUCACGAUUGGGGCCUGAACUGGCCCAACUUCUUAGCAGCACUCCCGACCGUCGUGAUAACCGGCGGCAGGUGUGCGGGUGAUGGCCGAGGCGGUGCGAAGCAGCCGGCGGCGGGCGGGAGCGGAGCAACACGCCCAUCGGGUUGCCGUCCUUGGACUGGAGUUCCUGCACGGCAGGUGCCUCCUCGACCGGAUCGCUCUUCGGCGGGAUCAAGCCCAAACCGACCUCCCCGUCCUCGCCCGCAAGUGCAUGGCAUGUGCGGGGAUCUGCACGGUUGCACCCUGGGGCGCCUCGCCACCCACGAGGCCGGCCUGCGGGAGAUCAACGCCGCCGUCGACCUGCUCCUGCAGGGGAAGACGGGAGAUCAACGCCGCCGUCGACCUGCUCCUGCAGGGGAAGAGCGAGCCUCCGCUACCUCAUCUGGAAUUCUGGAUGCACAGGUGAUGUGAUGUGGUGUUGCCAGCCUCUCAAGGAAGGAACGGCGGCGCUCCAGUUUGCGUCUGUGGCUAGAGUUAUCCACAUCAGAUCAAUUGUAGCAGGGUAGCUGGAGAUCCAAAAGGAAGAGCCAUGCUGAAAAAGGUCAAAAGAAAACAUUAACCUUCCAGAUCCUAAGGUAAGUGAUUCCUAGUUUCCCAGAUUAGACUGAAGGCUGCUUAGUCCGUGGUUAUCACGAAUCCACCAAGUCAGUAAAAGAACCAUGCUAUUUACUACCGAGUACCGAUACCUUGGUCCGAGCGGAUUAAUGGAAAGGCUUUCGUUCUACUAAUUGGACGUUGUUAUCGGGAUAAGCAUUGACCCAAUGGCAACAGCAUCAGGCAGUGGUUUUGAGCAGGCUUUGCUUGUCGUUGAAUCAAACGCAGGUGAACAGGGCUUCCCAACGAUCUUCUCUUCUUCACAAGUAAUCUCAGGAGCUCCUGAUGCACUGUGCACCAAGUUGGGAUGAUAUCAACCUUCUUCCAGCAUUGCUGUUCUCCAGCUGAAGCAGAUUUCACGUCUGAAGCCACAGGCUGGUAUGUUGGAGUUGGAGAUGGUCUUGCCUUCACAGGAUUCUCAUGGACCUGGUUUCCAUAGCAAUGGCUUUCUUUCUGUUUGUUUGUUGUGGAAGCUUCCCUAGUGAGGUUCCCAGAUUCUUGCCAUGAACCAUGGUGCGUGUCCAAAUUGAGGUUCUGUAGAUUGUCAGUCAGAUUGUUUGUCCCGCUGACAAUUCUGUCCA